UGCGCAGGUGCUGCAUGGCUGUCGUCAGCUCGUGUCGUGAGAUGUUGGGUUAAGUCCCGCAACCGAGCGCAACCCUUGUCAUUAGUUGCCAUCAUUUGGUUGGGCACUCUAAUGAGACUGCCGGUGACAAACCGGGAGGAAGGUGGGGAUGACGUCAAGUCCUCAUGGCCCUUAUGGGUAGGCUUCACACGUCAUACAAUGGUCGGUACAGAGGGUUGCCAACCCGCGAGGGGGAGCUAAUCCCACAAAGCCGAUCGUAGUCCGGAUCGCAGUCUGCAACUCGACUGCGUGAAGUCGGAAUCGCUAGUAAUCGUGGAUCAGCAUGUCACGGUGAAUACGUUCCCGGGUCUU
This 351-nucleotide ribosomal RNA is filed under the name uncultured Rhodocyclaceae bacterium. Its description in RNAcentral is "bacterial SSU rRNA". It matches the Rfam family "Bacterial small subunit ribosomal RNA", at positions 1031 to 1382 of the family's 1533-position model. The record is from RNAcentral. Lineage: Bacteria; Pseudomonadati; Pseudomonadota; Betaproteobacteria; Rhodocyclales; Rhodocyclaceae.